Molecule: ribosomal RNA, 467 nt
Filed under: uncultured bacterium
Lineage: Bacteria
Description: partial 16S ribosomal RNA
Rfam family: Bacterial small subunit ribosomal RNA
Source: RNAcentral
ACGAACGCUGGCGGCGUGCUUAACACAUGCAAGUCGAACGGAAAGGCCCUGCUUUUGUGGGGUGCUCGAGUGGCGAACGGGUGAGUAACACGUGAGUAACCUGCCCUUGACUUUGGGAUAACUUCAGGAAACUGGGGCUAAUACCGGAUAGGAGCUCCUGCUGCAUGGUGGGGGUUGGAAAGUUUCGGCGGUUGGGGAUGGACUCGCGGCUUAUCAGCUUGUUGGUGGGGUAGUGGCUUACCAAGGCUUUGACGGGUAGCCGGCCUGAGAGGGUGACCGGCCACAUUGGGACUGAGAUACGGCCCAGACUCCUACGGGAGGCAGCAGUGGGGAACAUUGCACAAUGGGCGGAAGCCUGAUGCAGCAACGCCGCGUGCGGGAUGACGGCCUUCGGGUUGUAAACCGCUUUCGCCUGUGACGAAGCGUGAGUGACGGUAAUGGGUAAAGAAGCACCGGCUAACUACGUG